Molecule: ribosomal RNA, 495 nt
Filed under: uncultured bacterium
Lineage: Bacteria
Description: bacterial SSU rRNA
Rfam family: Bacterial small subunit ribosomal RNA
Source: RNAcentral
AAAUGAAUAGACGGGGGCCCGCACAAGCGGAGGAGCAUGUGGUUUAAUUCGAUGAUACGCGAGGAACCUUACCCGGGCUUGAAAGUUAGCGACAGUGCUGGAAACGGCACAUCUCUUCGGAGCGCGAAACUAGGUGCUGCAUGGUUGUCGUCAGCUCGUGCCGUGAGGUGUCGGGUUAAGUCCCAUAACGAGCGCAACCCUCAUAUAUAGUAUACCAGCACGUCAAGGUGGGGACUCUAUAUAGACUGCCUACGCAAGUAGAGAGGAAGGUGGGGAUGACGUCAAAUCAGCACGGCCCUUACGUCCGGGGCUACACACGUGCUACAAUGGUAGGGACAGAGAGCAGCGAGCCGGUGACGGCAAGCGAAUCUGAGAAACCCUAUCACAGUUCGGAUCGAAGUCUGCAACUCGACUUCGUGAAGUUGGAUUCGCUAGUAAUCGCGCAUCAGCCAUGGCGCGGUGAAUACGUUCCCGGGCCUUGUACACACCGCCCGU